Molecule: ribosomal RNA, 292 nt
Filed under: uncultured prokaryote
Description: partial 16S ribosomal RNA
Rfam family: Bacterial small subunit ribosomal RNA
Source: RNAcentral
GUGCCAGCAGCCGCGGUAAUGCGAAGGGUGCUAGCGUUAAUCGGAAUUACUGGGCGUAAAGGGAGUGCAGGCGGUUACGUGUGUCAGGUGUGAAAGCCCUGGGCUCAACCUGGGAAUGGCAUUUGAAACUGCGUAACUAGAAUAUGGUAGAGGAAGACGGAAUUCCACGUGUAGCGGUGAAAUGCGUAGAUAUGUGGAGGAACACCAAUGGCGAAGGCAGUCUUCUGGGCCAAUAUUGACGCUGAGGCUCGAAAGCGUGGGUAGCAAACAGGAUUAGAUACCCCGGUAGUCC